UGGGGAAUAUUGCACAAUGGGGGAAAUCCUGAUGCAGCGACGCCGCGUGAACGAAGAAGGUAUUCGUAUCGUAAAGUUCUGUCCUAUGGGAAGAUAAUGACAGUACCAUAGAAGAAAGCUCCGGCUAAAUACGUGCCAGCAGCCGCGGUAAUACGUAUGGAGCGAGCGUUGUCCGGAAUUAUUGGGCGUAAAGGGUACGCAGGCGGUUUAAUAAGUCGAAUGUUAAAGAUCGGGGCUCAACCCCGCAAAGCAUUGGAAACUGAUAAACUUGAGUAGUGGAGAGGAAAGUGGAAUUCCUAGUGUAGUGGUGAAAUACGUAGAUAUUAGGAGGAAUACCAGUAGCGAAGGCGACUUUCUGGACACAAACUGACGCUGAGGUACGAAAGCGUGGGGAGCAAACAGG
This 403-nucleotide ribosomal RNA is filed under the name bacterium. Its description in RNAcentral is "partial 16S ribosomal RNA". It matches the Rfam family "Bacterial small subunit ribosomal RNA", at positions 355 to 776 of the family's 1533-position model. The record is from RNAcentral.